RNAcentral lists this ribosomal RNA (467 nucleotides) under uncultured bacterium. RNAcentral's name for it is "bacterial SSU rRNA". It matches the Rfam family "Bacterial small subunit ribosomal RNA", at positions 328 to 792 of the family's 1533-position model. The record is from RNAcentral.
UUCCCAGACUCCUACGGGAGGCAGCAGUGAGGAAUAUUGGUCAAUGGGCGGAAGCCUGAACCAGCCAAGUCGCGUGAGGGAAUAAGGCCCUACGGGUCGUAAACCUCUUUUGCCGGGGAGCAAGGGCCGGGACGCGUCCCGGCCCGGAGAGUACCCGGAGAAAAAGCAUCGGCUAACUCCGUGCCAGCAGCCGCGGUAAUACGGAGGAUGCGAGCGUUAUCCGGAUUUAUUGGGUUUAAAGGGUGCGUAGGCGGGCUUUUAAGUCAGCGGUAAAAAUUCGGGGCUCAACCCCGUCCGGCCGUUGAAACUGGGGGCCUUGAGUGGGCGAGAAGAAGGCGGAAUGCGUGGUGUAGCGGUGAAAUGCAUAGAUAUCACGCAGAACCCCGAUUGCGAAGGCAGCAUACCGGUGCACAACUGACGCUCAGGCACGAAAGCGUGGGUAUCGAACAGGAUUAGAUACCCCGGUA